This 85-nucleotide transfer RNA is filed under the name Felis catus (domestic cat). It matches the Rfam family "tRNA". From Rfam's summary of the family: Transfer RNA (tRNA) molecules are approximately 80 nucleotides in length. Their secondary structure includes four short double-helical elements and three loops (D, anti-codon, and T loops). The record is from Rfam by way of RNAcentral. RNAcentral also lists the same sequence under 2 other names. Lineage: Eukaryota; Metazoa; Chordata; Mammalia; Carnivora; Felidae.
GCCUGGGUGGCUCAGUUGGUUGAGCGUCUGACUUCAGCUCAGAUCACGAUCUCUGGGUUCUUGGGUUCAAGCCCUGCUUUGGGCU